Molecule: ribosomal RNA, 428 nt
Filed under: uncultured bacterium
Lineage: Bacteria
Description: partial 16S ribosomal RNA
Rfam family: Bacterial small subunit ribosomal RNA
Source: RNAcentral
GUAGGGAAUAUUGCACAAUGGAGGAAACUCUGAUGCAGCGACGCCGCGUGAGUGAUGAAGGCCUUCGGGUCGUAAAGCUCUGUCGCAGGGGAAUAACACAAUGAAGGUACCCUGUAAGAAAGGAUCGGCUAACUUCGUGCCAGCAGCCGCGGUAAGACGAGGGAUCCUAGCGUUGUUCGGAAUCACUGGGCGUAAAGCGGAUGUAGGUGGCUAUGUAAGUCAGAUGUGAAAGCCUGGGGCUCAACCCCAGAAGUGCAGUUGAUACUGCGUAGCUUGAGUGUCGGAGAGGUUACUAGAAUUGUUGGUGUAGUGGUGAAAUACGUAGAUAUCAACAGGAAUACCGGAGGCGAAGGCGGGUAACUGGCCGAACACUGACACUGAGAUCCGAAAGCGUGGGGAUCAAACAGGAUUAGAUACCCCGGUAGUCC